Molecule: non-coding RNA, 336 nt
Filed under: Eubacterium sp. CAG:274
Lineage: Bacteria; Bacillati; Bacillota; Clostridia; Eubacteriales; Eubacteriaceae
Description: Bacterial small subunit ribosomal RNA
Rfam family: Bacterial small subunit ribosomal RNA
Source: Rfam by way of RNAcentral
UUAAUUGAGAGUUUGAUCCUGGCUCAGGAUGAACGCUGGCGGCGUGCCUAACACAUGCAAGUCGAACGAGCAAAUACAUUUGAUUUCUUCGGAAUGAAGAUGUAGGCGCGAGUGGCGGACGGGUGAGUAACGCGUGAGUAAUCUGCCUCAUACAGGAGAAUAACACUAAGAAAUUGGUGCUAAUACUCCAUAAGCUCACAUUAUGACAUCAUAGAGUGAGAAAAGAUUUAUCGGUAUGAGAGGAGCUCGCGUCUGAUUAGCUAGUUGGUGGGGUAACGGCCUACCAAGGCAACGAUCAGUAGCCGACCUGAGAGGGUGAUCGGCCACAUUGGAACU